This 3539-nucleotide small RNA is filed under the name Pongo abelii (Sumatran orangutan). RNAcentral describes it as "retained intron". The record is from RNAcentral. Lineage: Eukaryota; Metazoa; Chordata; Mammalia; Primates; Hominidae.
UAGAAUGGGGUUUCAUGAUGGGCAACGGAGAGGCUGAGCUGCCUUCUGCAUGGUUGAAUCUGAGAAAGCUUUACACAGCACUAGUAUCGUUAGUUUUCCAGGCAGAAGGAAUGGUAUAUAUGGAGUCAUGUGAAACCAGGUGUGUUAGAGAACUACAGAUGGUUCCAUAUUGUGAGCUGAAAUUUUCAUAUGGGGCAGGGUGGCAGUGAGGCCAGAUGACUGACCACCCUAGUGGCCUAAUAUGAAUUGCAAUUCUUUGGUCUCUUGUAGCCAUCCCAAUGGAAAUUGCUUCGACAGGAACUGUUGAAGUACCUGGAAUACUUCUUGAUGGCUGUCAUUAAUGGGUGUCAGAUGUCUGUCCCACCCAACAGGACUGAAGCCAUGUGGGAAGAUUUUAUAACCUGCUUAAAGGAUCAAGAUCUGAUAUUUUCUGCAGCAUUUGAGGCCCAGUCUUGCUACCUCUUAACAAAAACUGCUGUUUCUAGACCUUUGUUUUUGGUUUUGGAUGACAAUUUUUAUUAUCAGAGUAUGAGAUAUGAAGUCUACCAGCUGGCUCGGAAAUAUUCAUUGGGCUUUUGCCAGCUCUUUUUAGAUUGUCCUCUUGAGACCUGUUUACAGAGGAAUGGCCAGAGGCCACAGGCACUGCCUCCUGAGACCAUCCACCUGAUGGGAAGAAAGCUAGAAAAGCCCAACCCUGAGAAAAAUGCUUGGGAACACAACAGCCUCACAAUUCCGAGUCCAGCAUGUGCUUCAGAGUCCAGGUAUUCCACUCAGUCAUCCCUCCCUGGGUGUUCUCCUGUGCCAGGUAUCAUGGUCAGUGCUUUAUCUGUGUUGGUUUAGUUAGUCCUCCCACAGGCGUUGGAGAGACCUUAUUCCCCCCUUUGUGUGGAAGCCAAAAGUGAAAUGGGAAAAUUUAGUUUGUCCAGAAAGAUUUGAACCCAAGUUUAUUUGCAAAUGUCUGCUUAUAACUGUUAGGAUUAUACUGUCUUCCAGUAGUUAGAGCAGGGAAUUCAGAGAACACAUCUUUGAUUCUCUUGCUAAAAUAGAUAGUCUAAAUAGGUUGCCUGGUAGUUUUCUUAUAGAAAGAGAUCUGUGAAAGAGUGCAUCUGGUACUGGGUCCUAUUUGCCUUAGAGCUUACCAUAGUUACACUGCUUUUGUAUAUGUGAGGCUUGUAGGCUAUGCUGUCUAAUGCAUUUCAUUCAUUACGUAUGUCUUGAGAGUUCUAGAGCAGCAUAUUUCUAGCAGAAACUUUGCUGGCGAUGGAAAUGUUCUAUAUUUGCACUAAUAUGGUAGCUGCUAGCCACAUUUGACUAUUGAGCCCUUAAAAGUAGCUAGUAUAACUGAUGACCUGAAUUUUUUUGUUUAACUUAUUAAACUUAAGUAGCCUCAUGUGGCCAGUGGUUAUUGUAUUGGACAGCACAGUUCUAGAGGUAUAUUGCCUGCAUUUCCUUAGUUCCUGCAUAUUGUCCACGAGGGAUUGGUAUCAGCUCACUGCAGGCUUGACCUCCUGGGCUCAAGCAAUUCUCCUGUCUCAGUCCCCUAAGUAACUGGAACUACAGGCCCACACUGCCAAGCCCAGCUAAUUUUUUAAUUUGUUGUAGUGACAGGGUCUCACUAUGUUGCCCAGGCUGGUCUGAAACUCGUGGCCUCAAGCAAUUCUUCCAACUUGACCUCCCAAAUUGCUGGGAUUACGAGCAUGAGCUACCACCCCUGGCUAAUAUUUUCUUAAAUUUUGGGUUACAUUGGGAACAGUGUCUAUAAUUCCUUUUGAAAUUCUUUUUAGGAAUCUUAUCUUAAGGUUAUAGUUCCCUUAAAAAAAUAUUUGCUAUGCUUUACCUCUUUUAAGACUGUAAACAAGCUGGGUGCAGUGGCUCACACCUGUGAUCCCAGCACUUGGGAGGCCAAGAAGGGAGGAUCACUUGAACCCAAGAGUUUGAGGUUGCAGUUGAGCUAUGAUAACGCCACUGCGCUCCAGCCUGGGUGACAGUGAAACCCUGUCUCUAAACAAACAGACUAAAUAGAACAAAAGGGCAUGGAUAUGAAAAUUAGCUAGUGAUCACUGGCUGAAUAGUCACUAAAACUCAAAUUUUCUCCCAGUUCUGAACACUUUAUAUAUAUGGUCUCAUUCAGUCCUCACAACCACCUUUUAAGGGUAGAAACGAUUAUCCCCAUUUUAUAGAUGGGAUAACUGAGGCCCAGAUAAGUAAAGUAAUAUACCCAGGUAGGAAGUGGCAUAGCCAAGAUCUGGACCCAGUGGGAUCGCACUCACUCCAGAACCUGGGCUCUUUUCAGUGUGAGGAAGAUCAUCUUGAGGUUGAGCUUUAACUUGAUGAGCUCACUCGCUUAAAACUUUUUAGUGCGACUUCCAUAAUCUGAGUAAAAUUCAAACUCCUUACCCUAACUUAUGUGAUCUAACCCAGAUUAAUUCUCCAACUUCAUAUUCUGCCACUCUCCCUCCUGGCUUCUUUUCAGCCUUUCUCUGUUGCACGAACACAAGGAGCUUGUUCUUGACCUGGGGCCCUUGCACUUGCUGCCCCUCUGCCCUUCCCACGUUCUUAUACUUGACUGCCUUCACUGACCAUCUUAACUGAAGCAAAGAACAUUAGUUGAGCUACCCUGUCACUCUUAUCAUUGUCACUUUAUUGUCUUUGCUCACUUAUCUACUUACCACCGUCUGAAAUUAUUUUUUGCUUUAUUUAACUGUUUAUCUGUCUCUAUUACAUUAUCUGCCUUGGCAAAGGCAAGGAUCUUGCUACACCCCCAGCUCAGCAUAUGGUUGUACAGUAUUUUUCAUAUAAGACGUUCAAUAAAUAUUUGUUAAAUCAAUGAAUUAAUUCUACCUGAAACCUUCAUGGACACUUGCUCAGUGAGAAACUUUGCUCAUCCAUAUCCAGUAAAUAAGCGGGAGCCAGAAAGUAAUGACCAGGCAUCUUUCCAUAGAGAAUAAAGUUGAGCUCUUGUGGCCCCCAGUUCAGCCUUAAGAGGGGAAAAGAGAAUGACUUUCCAAAGCUUAUUGACAUGAGUCUUAGGAAACUGGUAUUUUUUAAUGAGGGGUCCUUAGCUUAUCAUUUGUUUUGAGCUACUGCAUUUGGAUUUUCUACGUGGAAGCUAGCUUCUAAAUCGUUUAGUUUUUUUCCUUUUGUUAAGGAUCUUGGGUUAUAGCAGUUUUAUUCCUCUAGAAUUCAGUUUAAUAUUCACAAAUACAAGUUCCUUAAAAGUCAGAUGUUGGCCAGGCGUGGUGGCUCACGCCUGGAAUCCCAGCACUUUGGGAGGCUGAGGCAGGCGGAUCACGAGGUCAAGAGAUCUAGACCAUCCUGGCUAACACGGUGAAACCCCAUCUCUACUAAAAAAUACAAAAAAUUAGCCGGGCGUGGUGGCAGGCGCCUGUAGUCCCAGCUACUCAGGAGGCUGAGGCAGGAGAAUGGCGUGAACCCGGGAAGCAGAGCUUGCAGUGAGCAGAGAUCACGCCACUGCACUCCAGCCUGGGUGACAGAGCAAGACUCCAAGACUCCAUCUCAAAAAAAAAAAAAAAAAAAAA